AAAAAGGGCUUCUAUCGUUAAGUGGCACAUGUAGGGCAUCUCUUUUGCUCUACGUGUGGAAUCGACACCAAGAGAUUUCGGAAGGGUAAUUUUUGUUACCUGGGCUGCUAGUGAUCGUUGGUCCUGGCGCCCUA
Molecule: small nuclear RNA, 134 nt
Filed under: Echinops telfairi (small Madagascar hedgehog)
Lineage: Eukaryota; Metazoa; Chordata; Mammalia; Afrosoricida; Tenrecidae
Description: U11 spliceosomal RNA (ENSETEG00000023861.1)
Rfam family: U11 spliceosomal RNA
Source: RNAcentral